RNAcentral lists this ribosomal RNA (429 nucleotides) under Chloroflexota bacterium. RNAcentral describes it as "Chloroflexi bacterium partial 16S ribosomal RNA". It matches the Rfam family "Bacterial small subunit ribosomal RNA", at positions 355 to 776 of the family's 1533-position model. Lineage: Bacteria; Bacillati; Chloroflexota. The record is from RNAcentral.
UGGGGAAUAUUGCACAAUGGGCGCAAGCCUGAUGCAGCCAUGCCGCGUGUGUGAAGAAGGCCUUCGGGUUGUAAAGCACUUUCAGCGGGGAGGAAGGCGUUAAGGUUAAUAACCUUGGCGAUUGACGUUACCCGCAGAAGAAGCACCGGCUAACUCCGUGCCAGCAGCCGCGGUAAUACGGAGGGUGCAAGCGUUAAUCGGAAUUACUGGGCGUAAAGCGCACGCAGGCGGUCUGUCAAGUCGGAUGUGAAAUCCCCGGGCUCAACCGGGGAACUGCAUUCGAAACUGGCAGGCUAGAGUCUUGUAGAGGGGGGUAGAAUUCCAGGUGUAGCGGUGAAAUGCGUAGAGAUCUGGAGGAAUACCGGUGGCGAAGGCGGCCCCCUGGACAAAGACUGACGCUCAGGUGCGAAAGCGUGGGGAGCAAACAGG